CUUGGAAAGGUGGGAGCGGGAGGUGGCUGGAGGGUGCCCAGCUAGUUGCUUGUGGUGGGGCCCCCUUUCUUCUUCUUGUCCUGGCAGACCACACACUUGUCUGCCAGGUGUCCCAGGUGACCUCACCUCUGGGAGUGCUCAGCAGUCUCCCAAGCUUCAGUUCCUGUGUCCUUUUCAUGUAGGUCCCCUGGAACCCUGAGACCCAGAAGUUUUUAUGGUGUCUAUGUGACAAAUGAGAAGGCUGGUUCCAGAAUGGGGAAGUGACUUGUCCAAAGUCCUAGCUUUGAGCCCAGGCCCAUGGACCGUGGCCUACCCCCACCCCAGUCAGAGGGAGAAUCCGGGUCAGGAGCCUCCCUCCACGUCCAGUUGCCAAGUGCCAGUCCACAGUCGGGCUUGGUUUGGUCCACUGUGUUUUUUUUUUAAAAGCUUUGAAAAAUCAGAUUUUAUGUUGCUGUGACUUGAAUGUAUGAUCAAAAAUUCAUGUGCUGGGAACUCUGUACCCGUGUGGGGGUGCAGAGGCUUUGGCAGAGUCCUUGUGAAUGGGUUAACUUGGGGAUUAUUGUGGUUGUGGCUUUAUUAUAAAAGCGCUCUCUCUCUCUCUGGACCCCUGGGCCCCAUGUUCCUGCAAUGCUUUCCACCAUGUUUGACGCAGCGCGAUGCCCACACUGGAGCCUGGCUCUGGACUUCAGCCUCUAGAACCACACAUUAGACAAACCUCUCUUCUUUGCAAGUUCCUGAGUCUGUGUCAUCCAGUUGUAGCAACAGGAGACAGACUAGGUCACCAGUUAGACCCAGACUCCAGCUUCUCUUGACAAGAACUGGGCGGCCGGUCAGGCAGCCCGUGGUGGGCAGGUUCCUGGGGCUUUGGAAACAUUAUGCAACUGUUAACUGUUGUUAUCAUGGUUUCCUGGUUGUAGGUAUGGUCACAGGCUGCAUUGAGACCAGGAUGGAGCCAGAACAGGAGUUCAUGCCUGAAGGGGC
RNAcentral lists this long non-coding RNA (981 nucleotides) under Marmota monax (woodchuck). Lineage: Eukaryota; Metazoa; Chordata; Mammalia; Rodentia; Sciuridae. The record is from RNAcentral.